UACGAAGGGGGCUAGCGUUGCUCGGAAUCACUGGGCGUAAAGGGUGCGUAGGCGGGUCUUUAAGUCAGGGGUGAAAUCCUGGAGCUCAACUCCAGAACUGCCUUUGAUACUGAGGAUCUUGAGUUCGGGAGAGGUGAGUGGAACUGCGAGUGUAGAGGUGAAAUUCGUAGAUAUUCGCAAGAACACCAGUGGCGAAGGCGGCUCACUGGCCCGAUACUGACGCUGAUGCACGAAAGCGUGGGGAGCAAACAGGA
Molecule: ribosomal RNA, 254 nt
Filed under: uncultured bacterium
Lineage: Bacteria
Description: partial 16S ribosomal RNA
Rfam family: Bacterial small subunit ribosomal RNA
Source: RNAcentral